This 554-nucleotide ribosomal RNA is filed under the name uncultured archaeon. RNAcentral describes it as "bacterial SSU rRNA". It matches the Rfam family "Archaeal small subunit ribosomal RNA", at positions 326 to 882 of the family's 1478-position model. The record is from RNAcentral.
CGGGGUGCACCAGGCGCGAAAACUUUGCAAUACACGAAAGUGUGACAGGGUCAUCCCGAGUGCCGACCGCUGAGGUUGGCUUUUACCCAGUCUAGAAAGCUGGGGGAAUAAGGAGAGGGCAAGUCUGGUGUCAGCCGCCGCGGUAAUACCAGCUCUCCGAGUGGUGUGGACGUUUAUUGGGCCUAAAGCAUCCGUAGCUGGCUGAACAAGUCCCCUGUUAAACCCACCGAUUUAAUCGUUGGUCUGCGGGGGAUACUGCUCGGCUAGGGGACGAGAGAGGCAGACGGUAUCCCCGGGGUAGGGGUGAAAUCCUAUAAUCCCGAGAAGACCACCAGUGGCGAAGGCUGUCUGCUAGAACGCGCCCGACGGUGAGGGAUGAAAGCUGGGGGAGUGAACCGGAUUAGAUACCCGGGUAGUCCCAGCUGUAAACGAUGCAGACUAGGUGUUUGGACGGCCACGUGCCGUUCUAGUGCCGCAGGGAAGCUGUUAAGUCUGCCGCCUGGGGAGUACAAUCGCAAGAUUGAAACUUAAAGGAAUUGGCGGGGGAGCACAAG